RNAcentral lists this ribosomal RNA (253 nucleotides) under uncultured bacterium. RNAcentral's name for it is "partial 16S ribosomal RNA". It matches the Rfam family "Bacterial small subunit ribosomal RNA", at positions 524 to 776 of the family's 1533-position model. The record is from RNAcentral.
UACGUAGGGGGCAAGCGUUGUCCGGAAUCAUUGGGCGUAAAGAGCGUGUAGGCGGCCAGAAAAGUCCGCUGUGAAAACUCGAGGCUCAACUUCGAGCUGUCGGUGGAAACUUUCUGGCUAGAGUCCGGAAGAGGAGAAUGGAAUUCCUGGUGUAGCGGUGAAAUGCGCAGAUAUCAGGAAGAACACCUAUGGCGAAGGCAGCUCUCUGGGACGGUACUGACGCUGAGACGCGAAAGCGUGGGGAGCGAACAGG